This is a long non-coding RNA of Leguminivora glycinivorella, 914 nucleotides long. RefSeq lists it as uncharacterized. The record is from RefSeq and is a predicted model, not a curated record. The transcript has 4 exons. NCBI's taxonomy places the organism in Eukaryota, Metazoa, Arthropoda, Insecta, Lepidoptera, Tortricidae.
AUGAUCUAUAGAGCCCUUUUGAUUUUUCUAUGGCAACAUUUGCUAUGCUGACGUCAUUGCCACGUCAUUACUGUCAGUCAGACAGAAAUAAAAGAAAAAUGGAUGCCGUUCAGACGUACACGCAUUAUUUGGAACUGAAAAUUACGUAAUUUAUCGACCUGCUGGCUUGUAUUUGUUAUAAAUCAUAAAAAAAUUAUGGAAAACAUCAUGAACAAUAAUGAAACAAACCGAACCUUUAGCUACAAUAAUAAAAUGACCCCAUGACGCCAGUGGAACUACGUGGUUUUCUUUCAUGAUGAUUUGAUGAUACCAUAAUGGAAUUAGCCAAGUUUUCGCCGUAUUGGGUGCUAGAUGCCCCUUGGAGUUAAGCCCCAGUGCCACUAUACUACCUUACCAGUUAUGUGUGGGUGUUGUAGUCCUAAGACACCCCGGAGGUACAAAGGGCCUUCACAAACUCACGCCACGCCUUCCUAUCUUCAGCAACCCUCGUGACCUCGCUCCACCAGCUCAAACCUGCCAGUCGCAGCUCAUUUUUCGACGGACCGCUUCCAUGAGUAGACAAGGCACCGACGAUCACGGCUUGCAUCACCUGUACUGCUUCGUAAUAUGUUUCAAUGAAAGAGUUAAAAUUCUUCUCCAUGUACAAUCACUUCUAACGCCUACACUGACUACACCAAAUAUGAUCAUCACUCAACGUGUCUCACAUCAAGAUACUUUUCAAAAGUCAUCGAGAAGAGGAACAUAAUAUCUUUUUUCCCAUUGUUGCCUGAAUAAUCCUAACUAAAAGUUACUUCUCUAUUCUAUUUUUCCUGCAUGGAGUGGCGCUUUUCCGUCUAAUGGAAACGAUAUGAACAUAUAUGCUCUGGGUUUUUUUUUUUUUUGUGCACCUUUCCAAUAUUACUAAUAAAGCAUUU